This 486-nucleotide ribosomal RNA is filed under the name uncultured bacterium. Its description in RNAcentral is "partial 16S ribosomal RNA". It matches the Rfam family "Bacterial small subunit ribosomal RNA", at positions 30 to 507 of the family's 1533-position model. The record is from RNAcentral.
AUUGAACGCUGGCGGCAUGCCUUACACAUGCAAGUCGAACGGCAGCACGGGUGCUUGCACCUGGUGGCGAGUGGCGAACGGGUGAGUAAUACAUCGGAACAUGUCCUGUAGUGGGGGAUAGCCCGGCGAAAGCCGGAUUAAUACCGCAUACGAUCCACGGAUGAAAGCGGGGGACCUUCGGGCCUCGCGCUAUAGGGUUGGCCGAUGGCUGAUUAGCUAGUUGGUGGGGUAAAGGCCUACCAAGGCGACGAUCAGUAGCUGGUCUGAGAGGACGACCAGCCACACUGGGACUGAGACACGGCCCAGACUCCUACGGGAGGCAGCAGUGGGGAAUUUUGGACAAUGGGCGAAAGCCUGAUCCAGCAAUGCCGCGUGUGUGAAGAAGGCCUUCGGGUUGUAAAGCACUUUUGUCCGGAAAGAAAUCCUUGGCUCUAAUACAGUCGGGGGGUGACGGUACCGGAAGAAUAAGCACCGGCUAACUACGUG